CGGCGUGCCUAAUACAUGCAAGUCGAGCGAAUGGAUUAAGAGCUUGCUCUUAUGAAGUUAGCGGCGGACGGGUGAGUAACACGUGGGUAACCUGCCCAUAAGACUGGGAUAACUCCGGGAAACCGGGGCUAAUACCGGAUAACAUUUUGAACCGCAUGGUUCGAAAUUGAAAGGCGGCUUCGGCUGUCACUUAUGGAUGGACCCGCGUCGCAUUAGCUAGUUGGUGAGGUAACGGCUCACCAAGGCAACGAUGCGUAGCCGACCUGAGAGGGUGAUCGGCCACACUGGGACUGAGACACGGCCCAGACUCCUACGGGAGGCAGCAGUAGGGAAUCUUCCGCAAUGGACGAAAGUCUGACGGAGCAACGCCGCGUGAGUGAUGAAGGCUUUCGGGUCGUAAAACUCUGUUGUUAGGGAAGAACAAGUGCUAGUUGAAUAAGCUGGCACCUUGACGGUACCUAACCAGAAAGCCACGGCUAACUACGUGCCAGCAGCCGCGGUAAUACGUAGGUGGCAAGCGUUAUCCGGAAUUAUUGGGCGUAAAGCGCGCGCAGGUGGUUUCUUAAGUCUGAUGUGAAAGCCCACGGCUCAACCGUGGAGGGUCAUUGGAAACUGGGAGACUUGAGUGCAGAAGAGGAAAGUGGAAUUCCAUGUGUAGCGGUGAAAUGCGUAGAGAUAUGGAGGAACACCAGUGGCGAAGGCGA
RNAcentral lists this ribosomal RNA (704 nucleotides) under Bacillus sp. (in: firmicutes). Its description in RNAcentral is "bacterial SSU rRNA". It matches the Rfam family "Bacterial small subunit ribosomal RNA", at positions 40 to 724 of the family's 1533-position model. The record is from RNAcentral. Lineage: Bacteria; Bacillati; Bacillota; Bacilli; Caryophanales; Bacillaceae.